AGUGAACGCUGGCGGUAGGCCUAACACAUGCAAGUCGAACGGCAGCACAGUAAGAGCUUGCUCUUACGGGUGGCGAGUGGCGGACGGGUGAUGAAUACAUCGGAAUCUACUUUUUCGUGGGUGAUAACGUAGGGAAACUUACGCUAAUACCGCAUACGACCUACGGGUGAAAGCAGGGGAUCUUCGGACCUUGCGCGAUUGAAUGAGCCGAUGUCGGAUUAGCUAGUUGGCGGGGUAAAGGCCCACCAAGGCGACGAUCCGUAGCUGGUCUGAGAGGAUGAUCAGCCACACUGGAACUGAGACACGGUCCAGACUCCUACGGGAGGCAGCAGUGGGGAAUAUUGGACAAUGGGCGCAAGCCUGAUCCAGCCAUACCGCGUGGGUGAAGAAGGCCUUCGGGUUGUAAAGCACUUUUGUUGGGAAAGAAAAGCAGCAGGUUAAUACCCCGCUGUUCUGACGGUACCAAAAGAAUAAGCACCGGCUAACUUCGUG
This 492-nucleotide ribosomal RNA is filed under the name uncultured bacterium. RNAcentral describes it as "partial 16S ribosomal RNA". It matches the Rfam family "Bacterial small subunit ribosomal RNA", at positions 29 to 507 of the family's 1533-position model. The record is from RNAcentral.